AUCUGUUGACCGCCUGUCAAAGACUUCCACUGGCAAAAUUGAAACUCGUGUGUAAUCGUUCUGCGCAUGCUCUGUCCGAGGAGGCCGCUCAACUUGUGUUCACCGCGCGCGCGCCGCCAUAACUGGAACCGGGAUACGGUUUAGGGCUCACGGAGUGCCUGUAGCAGGGUGAAUCAGAAUGGGAGACAAGCCGAUUUGGGAACAAAUAGGAUCCAGCUUUGUGCAACAUUACUAUCAGCUGUUCGACACAGACAGGACUCAACUUGGAUCAAUAUAUAUUGAUGCGUCAUGCCUUACGUGGGAGGGUCAGCAAUUCCAGGGAAAAGCAGCAAUUGUCGAAAAGCUCUCUAGCCUGCCCUUCACAAAAAUAGCUCAUAGCAUAACAGCACAGGACCACCAGCCCACCCCUGAUAGCUGCAUAUUGAGUAUGGUAGUAGGUCAACUAAAAGCUGACGAUGACCAGGUGCUGGGUUUCCAUCAGACCUUUCUGUUAAAAUGUCUCAACACUGCCUGGGUUUGCACCAAUGAAGUCUUCAGGCUUGCCCUGCACAACCUUUGAGCCUAAAGACUCUUUGUGGUCACAUGGCCUUUCCUCCUUCUCUUAAUGUCUGCAGAUGAUGACCCCAUCAUGGGAUUCCAUCAGAGCUUCAUCUUGAAGAACAUUAAUGAGGCGUGGGUUUGCACCAAUGACAUGUUCCGCCUGGCGCUGCACAAUUUUGGUUAAACACCCUAUGGCUGGCAGGAAGGAAGUGGGGGAAGGUGGAGGACAGGGAUCUGCCCUGCUGAUGCCUGAACCUGUCAAUCGCCCCUUCGCUCAUCACACUCAAGAGAAACGGCACCGGAUUACAGCAGUCAAUCAAAGAAAACAUGCAGGCACAUACAGUACUGCCUGCACUCCAAAACUGAUGUUUCUUUAUAGAAUGCCCAUACAUUCAUCAAACUGACCCUUUUCCCUUCGCCAACCUGCAUGUUGAUGGGGAGCUUAAAUCUGAGAGGACGCCCUGACCAGGACAAAAACCCUAACCUCAGCCGUUUGAAAUGUACAAUUUUAGUUGCUGAUUUUGACUUUGAUAUAACAUCUGUCUUAUUCUCUGUCUUUGCUUUAGUACAGUGUUAUCAGCUUGUUUUUAGAGUUUGCUUAUUAAAGUUUAAAUCUUUUUUGCCCCCGUAAAAAUUGGAGUCUCCAUUUAAUGUGAUGUCAGGUUGCUCUAGUGAUCCAAAGAACACCAUGCUAAUUUCCCCCUCCCUUCAGACCAGUGUGCUUCCCAUUUUCUGCUCACUGCUCUCUGUAACAAUAAUUAUCAAGCCACGAUACACAAUAAAACCUUUGACUUUUUCUUAACAAUGCUA
This is an RNA transcript of Paramisgurnus dabryanus, 1350 nucleotides long. It is a transcript of the gene named nuclear transport factor 2, with no coding region annotated. The record is from RefSeq and is a predicted model, not a curated record. Lineage: Eukaryota; Metazoa; Chordata; Actinopteri; Cypriniformes; Cobitidae.